AGUGGGGAAUUUUGGACAAUGGGCGAAAGCCUGAUCCAGCCAUGCCGCGUGAGUGAAGAAGGCCUUCGGGUUGUAAAGCUCUUUUAGUCGGAAAGAAAGAGUCGCAAUGAAUAAUUGUGAUUUAUGACGGUACCGACAGAAAAAGCACCGGCUAACUACGUGCCAGCAGCCGCGGUAAUACGUAGGGUGCGAGCGUUAAUCGGAAUUACUGGGCGUAAAGGGUGCGCAGGCGGUUUUGCAAGUCAGAUGUGAAAGCCCCGGGCUUAACCUGGGAAUUGCGUUUGAAACUACAAGGCUAGAGUGCAGCAGAGGGGAGUGGAAUUCCAUGUGUAGCAGUGAAAUGCGUAGAGAUGUGGAAGAACACCGAUGGCGAAGGCAGCUCCCUGGGUUGACACUGACGCUCAUGCACGAAAGCGUGGGGAGCAAACAGGAUUAGAUACCCUGGUAGUCCACGCCCUAAACGAUGUCAACUGGUUGUCGGAUCUAAUUAAGGAUUUGGUAACGUAGCUAACGCGUGAAGUUGACCGCCUGGGGAGUACGGUCGCACAGAUUAAAUACUCAUAGGAAUUGACGGGGACCCGCACAAGCGGUGGAUUAUGUGGAUUAAUUCGAUGCAACGCGAAAAACCUUACCUACCCUUGACAUGCUUGGAAUCUAAUGGAGACAUAAGAGUGCCCGAAAGGGAGCCAAGACACAGGUGCUGCAUGGCUGUCGUCAGCUCGUGUCGUGAGAUGUUGGGUUAAGUCCCGCAACGAGCGCAACCCUUGUCACUAAUUGCUAUCAUUUUUAAUGAGCACUUUAGUGAGACUGCCGGUGACAAACCGGAGGAAGGUGGGGAUGACGUCAAGUCCUCAUGGCCCUUAUGGGUAGGGCUUCACACGUAAUACAAUGGCGUGUACAGAGGGUUGCCAACCCGCGAGGGGGAGCCAAUCUCAGAAAGCACGUCGUAGUCCGGAUCGGAGUCUGCAACUCGACUCCGUGAAGUCGGAAUCGCUAGUAAUCGCGGAUCAGCAUGUCGCGGUGAAUACGUUCCCGGGUCUUGUACACACCGCCCGUCACACCAUGGGAGUGGUUUUCACCAGAAGCAGGUAGCUUAACCGCAAGGAGGGCGCUUGCCACGGUGGGGGUCAUGACUGGGGUG
This 1141-nucleotide ribosomal RNA is filed under the name uncultured bacterium. RNAcentral describes it as "bacterial SSU rRNA". It matches the Rfam family "Bacterial small subunit ribosomal RNA", at positions 353 to 1482 of the family's 1533-position model. The record is from RNAcentral.